Molecule: ribosomal RNA, 254 nt
Filed under: uncultured bacterium
Lineage: Bacteria
Description: partial 16S ribosomal RNA
Rfam family: Bacterial small subunit ribosomal RNA
Source: RNAcentral
UACGUAGGGUGCGAGCGUUGUCCGGAAUUAUUGGGCGUAAAGAGCUCGUAGGCGGUGUGUCACGUCGGCCGUGAAAACCUGCAGCUUAACUGUGGGCGUGCGGUCGAUACGGGCAUCACUGGAGUUCGGCAGGGGAGACUGGAAUUCCUGGUGUAGCGGUGAAAUGCGCAGAUAUCAGGAGGAACACCGGUGGCGAAGGCGGGUCUCUGGGCCGAUACUGACGCUGAGACGCGAAAGCGUGGGGAGCGAACAGG